CUUAAAAUAGAAAUGCUUCACAUUUCUAGAAUGCUGUCCUCCCACACCCUGGUGAGGCAGAUAAUAGUUGUUUGUUGUUUUUACAGAAUGAAAAAUAGAAAUUAAAAAAGCCCAACUCAAGAUACCAAAAAGGUAGCCCUUCCCUCAGGGAAUCCCAGAGGUAGUGCCCUGGAGAAAAGAUCUGGUAACUCUACUUACACAUCUGGCAUCAGGUAAAGACAUGUCUUAGGAAACAGGAAACCCUACUGAGAAAGGAGGAGAAGUUGAAGAAAGACACCACUAGAAAGGAGGCCAGGGAUACAAGAUCUGUGACUUGCAGGAAGAAGGAGGAUUGCUAAGUGCCCUCUUCUCCAAAUACCCCAAGCAUGCAAAGUGAUUUCCUCCGAGAGAACUCAUUAUUAUAACCAAAAACUUUUUGUAUUUCAGUACUUCCAGCACCUGUCACUUCCUUGGGUGUAUAUACUCGCUCCAGCCAUGCAUAUGAUAAGGUCUAUGUAACUUAGGAGACCAUUGCUAAGGUCAAGAGAUGAAUCACCCUUUGGUGAAUCUUGUGAUGGAAAUAAUUUUUAAUCAUGGAUCCUUUGGAAUUGUCUUGAAUUAUUUGUUGUUUAGAAUAGCUAAAUUUUUCACACUGAUCAUCAUUAUAUUGCUGUUACUGUGUACAAUGUUCUCUUGGUUCUGCUCGCUUUACUCUGUAUCAUUUUGUGCAUAUCUUCCCAGAUUUUUUUUUACUAUUAUACUUCUCAUUUCUUACACUACAACACUACUCUAUAACAGUCAUAUACUACAACUUGUUCAGUCAUCUCCCAAUUGAUGGAUAUAACCUCAAUUUCCAAUUCUUUGUAACCACAAAAAGAACUGCUCUAAACAGUAUUGUACAUGUAGGACCUUUUCCCUUUUCUUUGAUCACUUUAGGAUAGAGACAUAGUACUAGUUUUGUUGGGCCAAAGGGGAAGCAUAGUAUUAAAAACUUUUGGUCUUAGUUUUAAAUUGUUCUCUAAAAUGGUUGGACUAGUUAAUAAUUGUCCUCACAGUGCAUCAGUGUCCAAAUUUUUCCAUCUCCUCUAUGGCAUUUGUUCUUUUUUCUUUUGGUCAUGUUAGACAAAUCUAACUUGUGUGAGAUGAUUUCUAAGAAUUAUUUUAAUUUGUAACUGUAUGGUCAAUAGUGAUAUAAAGAAUUAUUUUCUUUAACUUAUGAUAGCUUUUAUUUCUUCUGAAAAUGCAUAUUCAUAUGCUCUGGUCCAUUUAUCAAUUGAGGAAUGGUUCUUAUUUUUAUAUAUUUGGCUCACUUUUAAAAAUGUGACCCUGACAAAUUUGCUGUAAAGUUUUCCCCGAUUUCCUGCUUUCCUUCUAAUUUUGGAUACAUUAGUUUUGUUUCUGCAAUUUUUUUUUAAUUUCAUAAAAUCAAAAUUUACCAUUUUACUUCCUGUGAUCCUCACUAUAUUUAAUUUGGUUAUAAGGUUUUUCCUUAUCCAUAAAUCUAAAUUUUUUUUAUUUGCCUUUAUUUUACUAAUGAUAUCACCCUUUAUGUCUAAAUGAUUUAUCCAUUUUUACCUUAGGUUUAUGAUGUUAGAUGGUGAUCUGUGCCUAAUUUUUGUCAUACUACUUUCUAGUUUCCUAUGUAAUUUUUGUCAAAUGUUAUGUUCUUGCCUCAGAAACUUUAUCAAAUAUUAUAUUGCUAUAAUAAUUUACUACUAUGUGUUAUAUGUUUAAUUAUUACUGAUCUACCACUCUAUUUCUUAGCCAGUAGAUUGUUUUAAUGAUUUCUGCUUUGUUAGAUAUUUUAAAAUCUUAUGCUGUUAGACAACUGUCUUUUACAUUUUAUAUUGAUUCCUUUGAUAUUCUCAAUCUUUUGUUCUUCUGAAUGAAUUUUGUUAUUAUUAUUUUGCUCUAUAAAGUAAUUAUUUGAUAGCUUAAUUAGUAAGGUGCACAAUAAAUAAAUGUAGGUAGAAUUAUAAUUUUUUGUU
Monodelphis domestica (gray short-tailed opossum) is the source of this 1967-nucleotide long non-coding RNA. The record is from Ensembl. Lineage: Eukaryota; Metazoa; Chordata; Mammalia; Didelphimorphia; Didelphidae.